AAUUUGAAGCAACGCGAAGAACCUUACGUGAUCUUGACAUCCCCUUGACAGCUCUGUAAUGGGAGUUUUCCUUCGGGACAGGGGAGACAGGUGGUGCAUGGUUGUCGUCAGCUCGUGUCGUGAGAUGUUGGGUUAAGUCCCGCAACGAGCGCAACCCCUAUCUUCAGUAGCCAGCAUUUUAGAUGGGCACUCUGGAGAGACUGCCAGGGACAACCUGGAGGAAGGUGGGGACGACGUCAAAUCAUCAUGCCCCUUAUGACCAGGGCUACACACGUGCUACAAUGGCGUAAACAAAGGGAAGCGACCAUGUGAAUGCGAGCAAAUCCCAAAAAUAACGUCUCAGUUCGGAUUGUAGUCUGCAACUCGACUACAUGAAGCUGGAAUCGCUAGUAAUCGCGAAUCAGAAUGUCGCGGUGAAUACGUUCCCGGGUCUUGUACACACCGCCCGUCACACCAUGGGAGUCAGUAACGCCCGAAGCCGGUGACCCAACCAAACGGAGGGAGCCGUCGAAGGUGGGAUCGAUAACUGGGGUGAAGUCGUAACAAGGUAACCGU
This 555-nucleotide ribosomal RNA is filed under the name uncultured bacterium. RNAcentral's name for it is "bacterial SSU rRNA". It matches the Rfam family "Bacterial small subunit ribosomal RNA", at positions 948 to 1503 of the family's 1533-position model. The record is from RNAcentral.